GGAACCGUUCUCCCCUUAUCCCUUCCGCUAAUGGCUCUCCUUCCUCGCCCACCUCGCACCCCCGAUCUCCAUCGCCACGUCCUGCGCCGAUCUCAGCUCGUGCUCCUAUGCCCCCGGCCACGCCGACCUCCGGCGGCGCUCCUCCCAUCCUGCACCUCCAACCCCGACUCCGCCGCGCCCAACGCAUCUUCAAUGGAGCGCCUGCACACAGAGAACGCCGGGGUGCAUGGGCAACCUCCAUUGCACUCCCUCCGACGGCCGCCCGGCGGUAACCCAGCUCCUCCCCUCCCUCAUCUUCACCACCAACCGAGCCCCCCAACGACGAACCAAGAGGAGGCGGUGGCGGCUGAAACUUUGGAUCGCUGAUGGGGCGCGGAGAUCCAACAAGCAAUGGUGACGGCGCUUCAAACUCUGCAGGUAUUGCCCUCCUCCCAUCUCCAGCACGUUUCCUAUUUAUUUGACUCUCCCUGGAGAUGGCGAGGUUCACCGACGUGGAACUGCUAGCAGCCACGGUGGGGCUUGGAUUAGGAUUAAUGGCACACAAGAAGAAUCCAUCAAACACGCUCUGCGCUGGAUGUAAAUACUACUUCUAGGUAAGUUUCUGGAUCACACCGGUUCAUAAUUCAACAAGCAUGCCAAGCUUCUCAAGACCCAGAAGUUCGCGUCCAAGCUUGACCAGCAGAUUAAGUUUUUUUAAUGUCCAGGUUAGUUUUUUGUUCAUACCCUAUGCCUCCAUUGAGUUCUUCUAGCUGUUGAGCGUCCAAAGUGGAAUUAGCUAUCAAAAUGGGUUCAAGCUAAACUCUAAUUUAUUUAUUUCUUUGGAUUCAGGUGCACAUGUCAUAGGUGCAGAUGGGCUUGAUCAAGCCGUUAAAUUAAUUUCAUUUACGAACUGACGUGAAGGCGAUGUUUUUUAGUAGAUAUUUCUUCAACAUAUGAAUGGUGCUUGCUUCUUGCGUCCAAAGAUGAUUCACUAUUUUGUUGCUUCAAAUUAGGCUCAAACCAACCAUACCUACAGUAAACACAUCAUAAUUAGAGCUAAACUAUUUUGUGUUCCAUUGAUUUUCAUAACAUGUUGUUUGGAUUGUUGUUGCUAAUUUCUUUGAAAUUGAUUUUCAUAGCAUGCCGUUUGACACUGUCGGCCUCGCAAACCAACCAUACCUACACAUGCCGUCUGACACCGUCGGCCUCACCGUACUCAGCCAGGUUGCCACAACAAGGCGUCAGGAGUUCCAUAUGAACUGGUUGACUGUGGGUGCGGGCAUGGGUACAUCAGAGAAGGGCUCCACUCUUUCAGAGCUAAGUAUUUUUUUUAACUAAAUAAAGAUCCAUGUCUGCACUGUUAUAUAUUUGGUUCAACUCAUAUUACAAGUAUGCAUCUAUCUAUAUAUGUUCCCAAACGAGUGAACCCCUUCCAACGUCAAGAUUAUGCAUGUCUUUCACAUUGUAGCUUCCCAUUGCCCGUUCGUAUGUGCCUCGAAUGGCUUCACCAUUGCAAAAGGUAUUGUAGUCGUGCACAACAUACUACACCGAAUUCUUUGUAGCUUUGUGGAAUUUUGCUGAAAACUGUUGUUAUUAUUUGAGAAUUGAGAGUGAUGUUAUUUUCUUCCUAUGUUGUAGAGUCCAGAAAAGUUUGGUGAAAGGGAACACUAUCAUGGUCUUUUAUAGAGCUACAGAUCAAUCUUUACGAAUGUUUUUCUGUAGGCAAUUGUUUGCUCUGCUUGAAACUGUGAGACCGGUAUUUUGAUUUGUUGUUUCUUCUUAACUGCAGAUUUGUCACCUACUAUUAGGUACAUAUAUUGUGUUACUACACAUUGCCUCUAUAUGUGUUCACUUGAAAAGAUAAGACUAUUUUACCAACCAAUACUUUCAGCUCCCAUUUGAAGGGAA
Molecule: long non-coding RNA, 1887 nt
Organism: Triticum urartu
Lineage: Eukaryota; Viridiplantae; Streptophyta; Magnoliopsida; Poales; Poaceae
Source: RefSeq, a predicted model, not a curated record